RNAcentral lists this ribosomal RNA (200 nucleotides) under uncultured bacterium. Its description in RNAcentral is "partial 16S ribosomal RNA". It matches the Rfam family "Bacterial small subunit ribosomal RNA", at positions 8 to 208 of the family's 1533-position model. The record is from RNAcentral.
AGAGUUUGAUCCUGGCUCAGGACGAACGCUGGCGGCGUGCCUAACACAUGCAAGUCGAACGGAGUGUCUAGCAAUAGAUACUUAGUGGCGAACGGGUGAGUAACGCGUAGACAACCUGCCUCUAAAAUGGGGACAACACCGCGAAAGUGGUGCUAAUACCGAAUGUGGUAACUUGGUUGCAUGACUGAGUUAAGAAAGGU